CGAUGAUGACCACAGGAGCGGCAAAGGUGCCGAACAUGGUGAUCGGCGGCGGCAGGAAGUGGGUAGCCGGAGGUGCUACCUGAUUAGCUUGGUUGGCAUCUAUUCGAGAGGAGCACGGGGAAGAAGACCGGUUUCUUGGAGUUCAGGUUUGGGCUGUCCUUCCCGAAGAAGUACAUGUGUUAGUGUUUAUGUCUGUCUACUCAAAACAUUUUCUCACGUUAUUAUUCAUGCACUACCUAACUGCUGACAGAGCAGGCUGCUGUCUGGUUUCUACAUGUCUUCAUGCCCAGUGGUAUCCGCUUCCAUGCCGCCGAGCCUCCUCAAUUGCUAUGCUAUAGCUGACUCAGGAAUGCAUUCAGGCUGUUGUUGCUAACUUGAGAGAGCCCAUGAAAUUUCUUCAGACGAUGAAACAAAUGCCGAGGUUCUCAGGUUUAUUGAUGUUGGCAUAGUCUGUUGUGGUAAUUUCCUGCGGAUGCGAGCUCGGCAAGUAUUGGCUGGUGCUGGAGACAUACGUAAUCAAGUUGCUUAACUAAUUUUAGUACCAUAUAUUCACUUUUAUAUUAACAAUUUAUUUUCAUGUAAGUGUAUGUAUUGAAAGUCUUGCCUUGCUUAUUUGCAGAUCAUAUGCCUACAAAACUAAGGGAAUUCGUGCUUAAAAAAUGAGGCCAUUGUAUUUACUUGCAACACAGAUAAGAUUUUGUUUCCUUGCUGCAUUAGUUCACUGCUGCCUGGGUUGUAUCUACAGUAUUCAAGAUUCCUUACUGAUGUUCAAAUGAUUUUCUGGAUUGUUGGAUUCAGCUGACCUCAGAAUUCAGCUUCCAUUAAAGGAAAGGCUCAUCUCCAGAACUCAUACGGACACGGUUCAAGAUUACCCUAAAGAAAGGCUCCUCUGCAUAACUCAUACAAAUUGUUGGGAGUGCCAUUAUCUUUCAGUUAAUUUCCUACAGUACCAGUUACUAAUUCCUUUGCUGACUUAAGCAGAAAGAUCGUUUGCUUCAUGUUAGCUCCGUGGCUUCCUUUAAUCAGAUUUUUUUGCGGUACCCUACAAAAAUUGUUGUUGUGCUUUUGCAUUUCGUAAUUAAUUUGUGUGCCCGAGUAGAUCAGAGAAUAAGCUGGUGCGCCAAAGAUUGUCUGCUGCUCACUCCUGCAGGUAAUUGCUAUAAUAUUUGAUAUCCUUGCUUUACCUACAUAUUUGAUGAGAGUACUCUUCAGCAACGAUACACUACUUAGGUUGCUUCUUCGCUGAAUUAAACUGAGUUGUUUGCUUGCCCUAUCAACUGCGGAUUCAAUCAUAGUGCCUAUAUUGAACAUUGGAUAUAUAGUCUCACACAUAUUGCUUAGAAUUCUAGAACAAAUAUUAGUUUAGAUCUGAUAUUCACAAUAACCUCUAACUGGACCCAUGCAUACCAUCAUUCGCCAGUAAAUUUGCAAAAUCAACCAAUCAAGAAACUGAUGAUUUCUCAGAUAGUUUCUUUAUUUUUUCUGUUCUAACAGGACAAUUCAAAUGCAGUACAAGGGAGCAUUCUUUUUAUGGAGAAUAUCUUUCUUCCCGUCCCUUGAAAUAAUGAGUAAUAUGCAUGUAUAAAGGGACUUUUAUUUAUAAGAGAUGAGAUUUCAAAACUUCAUAUGCAUUAUACUUUUUACACCGGAUUCUGAAUUCUCAGUGAUUCUUAAUAGUUAUGUAUAUACGUAUAACAAUUUGGGUGUUUAUCAAGUCAACAUCCACUGGUGAUUUGCUAUUUCUGAAGCUCAAUUCAGGACCACGAUUUCUCCCCGUUUUUCCACUUCAGUCCUUUUCAAAGAACAUCGGUCAUCACGGCGAAGGUCGAUGCACUAGCUUACAUGUAA
Long non-coding RNA from Lolium rigidum, 1848 nucleotides. RefSeq lists it as uncharacterized. The transcript is spliced from 4 exons. The record is from RefSeq and is a predicted model, not a curated record. NCBI's taxonomy places the organism in Eukaryota, Viridiplantae, Streptophyta, Magnoliopsida, Poales, Poaceae.